AAGCUUUUGCUUGUCAAAAUCAACAUAUGGUCAACUAAUCUACACCAACUACCACUAAUACAUUGGAACUUACAAAACUAAACUUGUACACAUAAGUAAAGCUGGUUAACAGCUCAAUCACAUUAGAAAUACAUCAAACUUCUACCUAAUAUAGUUCAAAAUAAACCAAAAUAAGUCACAUUAACUAAAAUAACAAAAUAAACAACAAAAUAAACUGUUGCACUUGGCUCGGCAGCUUCUGGUCUUGGCCUGCUCUGCUUGGUAUGAUGACUAGUGCAUGAGCUGCAUGGAGGGCCACAUUCUAACACUCCUCCUUGGUCUCCGUGCUACUAAUUCCGAGUUCUUUCCUUAACUUAAUGAACCUUGAAGCAUUAAGGGCCUUUGUGAAAAUAUCAGUAACUUGUUCCUCUGAAUUGCAAUCAAUCAGCUCUACCUCUCGAGCUUGUUCCAUCUCCCUUACAACAUGCAGUUUAAUAUUGAAGUGCUUGGUUCUACCAUGGAAGAUAGGGUUCUUUGCAAUUGCAGCAGCAGACGUUUUAUCACAAAAGAUCUCUAUUGCUUCCCUUUGAUGCAGGUUCAAGUCAGCUAAAAUCUUCCUUAGCCAAAUGGCUUGAUUAACAGCAUUAGCAGUAGCAACAUACUCAGCUUCUGCUGUUGAUUGAGUAACUAUCGAUUGCUCCUUGGAACUCUAGCAAAACACAGCUGAACCAAGGGUAAAAGCAUACCCUGUGGUGCUUUUCAUAUCAUCCAAGGAACCAACCCAAUCACUGUCAGUGUAUCCCACUAAUUUCAAUCUUUUAGUAUUGCCAAACUGAAGUCCAUAGUUUAGAGUCCCUUUGAUGUAUCUCAGUACCCUUUUUGCUACUUGAUAAUGCUUUUUGUUGCAACAAUGCAUGAAUCUUGACAGUAGACUUGUAGCAAACAUAAUGUUUGGUCUUGAUGCAGUAAAACACAGCAAACAGCCUACCAAACUUCUGUAGGUGCAUUCACUAACCUGCUCAUGAUCUUCUUGGCUCGAUAGCUCUGAUCCAAUAGCUGUUGGAGUACUUGUUAGUUUGCAGUUCUCCACUGAGAACUUGCUCAGGAUCUUCAUGGAAAAUGUCUUUUGGCUUAAGAAGAUUCCAUUUGUAGUUUGAAAUACUUCCAAUCCUAAAAAGUAUGUCAUUUUUCCCAAAUCAGACAUCUCAAACAUUUCCAUCAUUUUGGCUUUGAAAUUAGCCAACAUUCUUUGAUCUCCUCCUAUGAACAAACGAUCACCAACAUACAGGGACACAAUGAGCUGUGUUUUAGCUUGUCUCUUCUUGAUAUACAAGGUUGGCUCACUAGAGCUCCUUUCAAAUCCCAAACUAAUUACGUAACUGUCAAUCCUGCUAUACCAGGCCCCUGGUGCCUGUUUUAGGCCAUACAAAGCCUACUUCAAUCUGUACACCAUGUGUUCUUUACCAGCUACUUCAAAACCUUGUGGCUGGUCAAUGUAUAUUUCUUCUUCAAGGAAACUAUUUAGAAAAGCAGACUUUGCAUCAAGCUGAUGAAUCUUCCACUACAUCUAUGCUGCUAAGGCAACUAGUAGCCUGAUAGUGUCAAGCCUAGCCACUGGUGCAAAUGUUUCCAAGUAGUCCAGGCCAUAUUUUUGGUUGAACCUUUGACAACAAGCCUGGCCUUGAGUUUAUUCAAGCUCCCAUCAGCAUUCUACUUGGCUCGAUAGACCCAUUUCACCCCAAUGACCUUCCUAUUGCUUGGUUUUUCAACCAACUCCCAUGUUUGGUUCUUCUCAAUCAUAGCAAUCCCAUCAACCAUUUCUUGUUUCUAGCCUUCAUCUGCUUCAGCCUCUUCAAAGCAGCUUGGUUCUUCUUGUGCGACAUGAGCCCUCUCAUAAAUGUCAGCCAAAGUCUUUGUACCCUUGACUGGUUCAUCAUCAACAUCCAUGUCAGGAUUAUUUUGGUCAGAUUCAAGCUGAUCUGCCAUGAGUUCUUUAGAAAUAGUCUCAGGUUCAUUUGUUUCCCAAUUCCAACAUGUCUUUUCAUCAAAGAUCACAUCUCUGCUUACAUGGACUUUGUUUGUUGAAGGAUCUAAGAUCCUAUAGGCUUUCUUGACCAUGCUGUAUCCCACCAAAAUGCCAGUUUGAGACCUUUUUGAUAGUUUUUUCCCUUUUUACAGCUGGUAUAAGGCUGUAGCAUAGGCAACCAAAGACUUUUAGGUGAGCCAAUGAAGGUUAAAACCCAAACCAGGCUUCAAAUGGAGUCUUAUGUUCAAGUGCUUUGGUUGGUAGCCUAUUCUGAAUGUAAACAGCAGUGUUGACUGCUUUAGCCCACAUUGUCUUGGGCAGAUUCUUCUGAAAUAGGAGACACCUAGCCAUAUCUAUAAGGCUUCUAUUUUUUCUUUCACUCACCCCAUUCUGCUGAGAUGUAUAAACAUUUGUUAGCUAGUGUUUGAUGUCGGCAUCAUUGUACAAAGCUUGGAACUGGGCUGAGGUGUACUCAGUUCCAUUGUCUAACCUAAUGGUCUUCAAUUUGCAGCCUGUUUCUGUUUCAACUAUAGCUUUAAACUUCAAGAAUACUUGAGCUACCUCAGAAUUAUGCUUCAAAAAGUAAAUCCAACAAUAUCUGGUACUAUCAUCAAUGAAAAGAAUGAAGUACCUAUUGCCAUUGAGUGAUUCAGUCCUCAUGGGGUGACACACAUCAGUGUGCACGAGCUCCAAAUUGUUUGAUGCUUUCCAGGCUGUGUUUGCAGGAAAUGAGAGCCUGGCUUGCUUUCCCAACUGACAAACCUCACAAACAUCUUCAUUUAGAACUGAUUUAGUGAAAUUUUCAACCAUUUCCUUGCUGACCAUUCGAGCCAUGGAUUUGAAGUUGGCAUGACCAAGUCUUUGAUGCCAAAGCUUGGUACUUCUGUUGAAGCAAUAUAGGCUGAGUGUGAGUCACUUGGCCAGUUAAUUUCAACGCAUUUAUCACUCAUGGUAACUGUCAUGAAGCUUGAUCCAUUUGGAUCAGUGAUUUUGCACUCCUGGCCCUUAAACACAAUUGAGUAGCCUUUUUCUAGUAGUUGAGCAAUGCUGAGAAGGUUCUUGUUAAUCUCAGGCACCAACAGCACAUUUGUUAUGAUUUUGUCUCCUGUGGAAGUGCAUAUUAGCACAUCUCCCUUUCCUUCAACCUUAAUGAACUGGCCAUUUCCAAUUUUCACUUCAGUUUUGCAAGAUCUGCCCAAGGUUUUGAAAAUGUUUGCAUCUGAUGACAUGUGGUUAGUGCAACCACUGUCCAGCAACCACCCUUUUGAGCCUUUGUUUUGACCAGCUAGACAUGACACAUCAAAAACCUGUUCUUCAUGGUCACUAUUGUCUUCAGCCACUCGAGCUUCAGCAUCUUUAUGCUGUGCUUGAUUUUGGCCAGGUCUGCCUUUUUCUUUGCAGACCCUUUCAACAUGACCCUUCUUUUUGCAAUGUUGACAUACAACAUCUGGUCUGAACCAGCAUUUGGCCUCUAGAUGACCAGGCCUUUUACAAAAUCUGUAGAGUUGGUCUCUUCUUCUUGCAGCAUUAGGCUUAGGCCUGCUUCUCCAGUUUUUCUUGCCUUUAUAGGCUGAGGUGCUCGAGGCUGCUUUGGCCUUGGCUUGAAAAGCACCGCACCUUCCUAGUGCUCCUCCAUUCUGCUGGCUCUUCUUUACUCCUGAGCAUAAAGAGCAUUGAUAAGCUCAGCUAAGGAGAUGCUUGCCAGGUCUCUCGAAUCCUCCAGGGAUGAGAUUUUUGCCUCAUAUCUUUCAGGCAAUGUUGAGAGCACCUUCUCCAUAAUCCUUGCCUCACUGAACUAUUCUCCUAGAAACCUUAUGCUGUUCACAACAGCCAUGAUUCUAUCUAAAUACUGCUUCACUGUUUCCUCUUCUUUCAUCUUUAAAUUUUCAAAGUCUCUCCUCAAGUUCAACAACUGCUGCUGCCUUGUUCUCUCUGUGCCUUGGAACUCCUCAUUAAGCUUGUCCCAGACCUUUUUUGGAGUCUCAUAGGCCAUGAUUCUAGUGAAGAUAACAUCAGACACAUAGUUCUGAAUACUGGACAUGGCUUUAUGCCUCUUGGUCCUCUCAUCUGCAUGCUGCCUAAUUUGAGCCACUGUGGGAUUGGCUCGAAGUGAAGCUGGCUCAACAUCAGUGUUGGCAACUUCCCACAAGUCGAAGGCCUGCAAGUAAGUUCUCAUUUUAACAAUCCAAAUGUGGAAUCCUUCACCAUUAAAAACUGGUGGUGUAGCUGGAGAAAAUCCUGCUGAAGCCAUCAGUUUUAUAGAUAUGCAAUGACAAAUCCUCUAAGACAAAUACUCUUGAUACCAAUUGUUAGGGAUUUGAAACAAAGCUAAGCAAGCAGAGUCAAAAGCUUGUAUAGCAAGCCUCGUGACUUGGUGAAGAAACAAAAGCAGAAAUUUGCUUGAGAACAAGAACUGAAUUGAAAACAAGAGAAAUGGAGCAUGAAAAUGAAUGAAAUCUAAUGAUAUUUUCAUUAACAUGAACAAAGGCAUAAUGCCAAUACAUAAACCAAGCUUUUUCUUGUCAAAAUCAACAUAUGGUCAACUAAUCUACACCAACUACCACUAAUACAUUGGAACUUACAAAACUAAACUUGUACACAUAAGUAAAGCUGGUUAACAGCUCAAUCACAUUAGAAAUACAUCAAACUUCUACCUAAUAUAGUUCAAAAUAAACCAAAAUAAGUUACAUUGACAAAAAUAACAAAAGAAACAACAAAAUAAACUACUGCACUUGGCUCGAUAGCUUCUGGUCUUGGCCUGCUCUGCUUGGUCUGAUGACUGGUGCAUGAGCUACAUGGAGGGCCACAUUCUAACACCUCGAUUCAUAGUACUAUCGGCAGUAAGUUUACCUCCACCUGAAGUUGUUGCUGAUAUGCCCAACUGGAAUGAAAUGACCUGUAACUGCUUAGUCAUUUCCUGAAAAGUCAACUGCGUGGUGGCGUUCCACUGUUCUUGAUUUGCAACGUGAUUUUGCAGCAAAGUGAGGACCUACUCAUGACGGUUUGAUGUAUCCUGAAGUGUUUUAAUGGCUUCAGUAUUGUUUACCAUUUUGGUAUGGUCAAUGAAAGCACCAAAUUGUUGUGUGCUUAAGAAGAAACAGAAAAAUAGGGAAAAUUAGUAGAAUAGUUUUUAAGGAAGAAGAAUAAGUUCAACGAUUUCAUGCCCCUCUCUAUACAAUUAUUGCUAUUUAUCAGGGGAAAAACUGAUAACAAAUUCUAAAAAAGGACAAAGUCCAUUAGUGUACGUGGAGCCUUUCUCUCUCUAGUACCCCUGCGUAAUUCCAGAACCUUCUCAACCUUCUCUGCGUUUUGACUUGAGCUGGUUGCUUGAGCAUCCCCUGCAGCUUGGCUAGAACUGGUCUCUUGGGUGGUAGUUUACAUGGUGUUCUCAACAGAUCAUUGAAAUCGUGUAGGUAGCACUAGGCUUCCUCAUCUCUGUGGGAUUCCUAAACUGUUGUCUUCCCUUCAAUAUAUGGGCAACCAUACCACAAAGGUAAAAGACUAGAAACUUCCUUCAUCAUCUUCAAUCCUUGUUUUGACUAGGUUUUUAGUGGCAUCAAGAACAUUUAAUAGUAUAUUUAGAUUCCACCAAAGAGGCAACCCCUUCGCAAUACCCAGAGGAUGAAAUGAAUUCCAUUCAAGAUCUCCUCUAUUUCAUCUCAAUAAAAAAUACAAUAUUGGGGUUUCAUUUAAAACAAACAUUCAUCAAAGCAUGGACUGUGCUUUGUUGCCCUAGACCUCUACAGUUCCAGAUAGUCACGUUCAUCCCAAACCCAAAGCAAAACAAGAAAGAACCAUGAUCACAUUCAACCAAAUAGAAACCAGACACAGAAGAAAAGUCUUAGCACAACCUAAUUAAUGCUCUCAUUCAUCUAUUUUUCAACAAAAACCCCGUUCAUACAUAAAUUUCAUGCAGUAAAUUGACAAACCAAAUGGAACUAAAAGGGAAAAAAAAGGCAUUAUUUUAAAGCUACGAAAAAGAACAGAGAGUUUAGAAACAUUUCCUUCACCAAACCCUAAUGAUGGUUAUCUGAGUGAAAAACAAAAUUUUAUUAAAAAUAAAUAAGGUUUUGAUUGAAAUAAUAAAAUAAAAAUGUUAAAAAUAAUAAUAUUUUUAGCACAAAUCACAUUAUAUCAUUCUCAAAAUAAUAAAAUAAUUAUAUUUGUACACAAUAUUUUGUGAAAUCAGAAUGAGGAAAAAUAUUUAUUGAGUGUGUGUAAUAUGGAGGCCUUAGUGUUGUCAUUGUGG
Molecule: long non-coding RNA, 6254 nt
Filed under: Gossypium barbadense (sea-island cotton)
Lineage: Eukaryota; Viridiplantae; Streptophyta; Magnoliopsida; Malvales; Malvaceae
Description: long non-coding RNA (GBAR_LNC005631)
Source: RNAcentral